CCUAGGAUAGAUAAGCUGUAUCACUAAUUGAUAAAAUAUUGGUCCACUUUCAGUACUGUAUUUACUUGGUUAUCAGAAUGUGGUUUUACACUAUUUUUAUUCUAAUCUUUUCAAGCCAAUAUGUUGUCGGUCAAUUUGGAUCGUUCAAACAAGACUUUGGAUAUGUGACUGUGAGAGAAGGUGCUCAUAUGUUUUACUGGUUGUUUUACACCACUGCUGAUGUACCAAAUUACACCGAUAGGCCCCUAGUCGUAUGGCUACAGGGGGGCCCAGGCGGGUCUUCUACGGGCAUAGGCAAUUUCGAAAUAUUAGGUCCACUGGACCUAUCGUUGCAGGAAAGAAAUUAUACUUGGGUCAAAAACUUCAAUGUUCUCUUUGUUGACAAUCCUGUAGGCACUGGUUUUAGUUAUGUCGAUGACCUUCAACAUCUAACUACUACUAACGAUGAAAUAGCUCUAGACUUUGUGAACCUUAUGCGUGGAUUCUACAACGAUCAUCCGGAAUUCCGAGGAGUACCACUUUAUAUUUACGGCCAAUCGUACGGAGGAAAAAUGGCGAUUGAUAUGGGCAUACGUAUGCAUGAGGCGGAGCAAGCUGGUACGAUUGGUUCUAACUUGAGGGGAGUUGCGAUGGGCAAUGCGUGGAUAUCCCCAGUAGACGCUACUCUCACAUGGGGCCCUCUGCUUCUAGCAGCUGGUCUUGUCGACCAAGACGGGCAUGAUGAAAUUCAGAGUCACGCCAGGGAGGCUGAGCGUCUGUUCAAUGAAGGAUUAUACGAACAAUCUACUAUGCAAUGGGCAGCAACACAACAAGCAGUAUUUAGGGGAACCACCAGAGUAGAUUUUUAUAACAUACUCACAAAAAUGCCUGUUCCUAAUUCUAUACCAGAUACAAGUGAUGGAGCUUAUGAAUUCUCAAAGAAUAUGAUGAUCCGAAAUGGUAUUUCGGAACUUUCCUCGGAGACAAGACAAGAAGAAUACAAUCUCAGUGUUUUAAUGAACACUUUAGUUAAAGAAGCAUUAAAUAUCCCACAGCAUGUGAUAUGGGGCAGCCAAUCUGGUGCAGUCUUCGAUUAUUUAAGAGGAGACUUUAUGAAACCUGUUACCGCUGGCAUUGAGAAGUUGCUGACCGAAACGGAUAUUAUUUUGACGAAAUAUAAUGGAAAUCUUGACUUGAUUUGCGAUACUCCAGGUACCGAGAGAUAAUCCAGCUGGAACCAACGCGUUCCUUCGCGACAUGACUUCGUUUGGAUAAGGAGUAGACAAUUAAUUAAUAAAAAUCAUGCCUGUAUGCAAUAUAAACGUUGACGUUUAUAAGAAUUCUUUAUAAGGAGGAUUACGUAGGUAUGUGAAGAACAAUAAAGAUAAUGCUCAUUUUAAAA
Molecule: unclassified non-coding RNA, 1381 nt
Filed under: Helicoverpa zea (corn earworm)
Lineage: Eukaryota; Metazoa; Arthropoda; Insecta; Lepidoptera; Noctuidae
Description: retinoid-inducible serine carboxypeptidase-like, transcript variant X3
Source: RNAcentral